GACGUAGGGCGCGAGCGUUGUCCGGAUUUAUUGGGCGUAAAGAGCUCGUAGGCGGCUUGUUGCGUCAGCUGUGAAAACCCGAGGCUCAACCUCGGGCCUGCAGCCGAUACGGGCAGACUAGAGUUCGGCAGGGGGAGACUGGAAUUCCUGGUGUAGCGGUGAAAUGCGCAGAUAUCAGGAGGAACACCGGUGGCGAAGGCGGGGUCUCUGGGCCCGAUACUGACGCUGGAGGGAGCGAAAAGCGUGGGGAGCGAACAGG
This 259-nucleotide ribosomal RNA is filed under the name uncultured bacterium. RNAcentral's name for it is "partial 16S ribosomal RNA". It matches the Rfam family "Bacterial small subunit ribosomal RNA", at positions 524 to 776 of the family's 1533-position model. The record is from RNAcentral.